UGGGUGGCGAGUGGCGGACGGGUGAGGAAUACAUCGGGACCUGCCCAGACGUGGGGGAUAACGUAGGGAAACUUACGCUAAUACCGCAUACGUCCUACGGGAGAAAGCGGGGGAUCUUCGGACCUCGCGCGGUUGGAUGGACCGAUGUUCGAUUAGCUAGUUGGUGAGGUAAUGGCUCACCAAGGCGACGAUCGAUAGCUGGUCUGAGAGGAUGAUCAGCCACACUGGGACUGAGACACGGCCCAGACUCCUACGGGAGGCAGCAGUGGGGAAUAUUGGACAAUGGGCGCAAGCCUGAUCCAGCAAUGCCGCGUGUGUGAAGAAGGCCUUCGGGUUGUAAAGCACUUUUAUCAGGAGCGAAAUGCCAUUGGUUAAUACCCGGUGGGGCUGACGGUACCUGAGGAAUAAGCACCGGCUAACUUCGUGCCAGCAGCCGCGGUAAU
This 443-nucleotide ribosomal RNA is filed under the name uncultured bacterium. Its description in RNAcentral is "bacterial SSU rRNA". It matches the Rfam family "Bacterial small subunit ribosomal RNA", at positions 85 to 524 of the family's 1533-position model. The record is from RNAcentral.